This 5348-nucleotide long non-coding RNA is filed under the name Gallus gallus (chicken). Its description in RNAcentral is "lncRNA (ENSGALG00010009698.1)". The record is from RNAcentral. Lineage: Eukaryota; Metazoa; Chordata; Aves; Galliformes; Phasianidae.
AGGGGGGUUCUGCGGUGCUGCAGGUGCUGCCGUGCAUGGGGUGCGGUGCCACAGCUGUGCAGCAGUGCAGCCAUGCGCCUCAGUGAAGGGCUCGGGGCGCAGCGCCGCAAGGCCGUGUUUGGUUGCAGGAUUUGGGUGCAGGACUUUGGUGAGGAACUUUGGUGCAGGAUUUGGAGUGCAGGGGUUGGGUGCAGGACUGCAGGUGCAGCGCUUUGGGUGCAGCACUUUGGGGGUGCAAGAUUGGGGGUGUAGGGCUUUGCUGUGUGGUUUGGUGCAGGACUUUGGCUUUGGGGUUUCCUGCAUGGCUUUGGUUGCAGGAUGUUCGGUGCAGGGCUUUGGGUGCAGGAUUGGGGGUGUAGGGCUUUGUUGCAUGGUUUGGUGCAGGACUUUGGCUGUGGGGUUUCCCUGCAUGCCUUUGGUUGCAGGAUGUUCAGUGCAUGGCUUUGGUUGCAGGAUGUUCGGUGCAGGGCUUUGGGUGCAGUGCUUUGGGUGCAGCAUUGGGGGUGUAGGGCUUUGCUGCAGCUUUGCUGCAUGGUUUGGUGCAGGACUUUGGCUGUGGGGUUUCCUGCAUGGCUUUGGUUGCAGGAUGUUCGGUGCAGGGCUUUGGAUGCAGCAUUGAGGGUGCAGCAUUGGGGGUGCAGGGCUUUGCUGCAUGGUUUGGUGCAGGGCUUUGGCUGUGGGGUUUCCCUGCAUGGCUUUGGUUGCAGGAUGUUCAGUGCAGGGCUUUGGGUGCAGGAUUGGGAGUGCAGGAUUGGGGGUGUAGGGCUUUGUUGCAUGGUUUGGUGCAGGACUUUGGCUGUGGGGUUUCCCUGCAUGGCUUUGGUUGCAGGAUGUUCAGUGCAGGGCUUUGGGUGCAGGAUUGGGGGUGUAGGGCUUUGCUGCAUAGUUUGGUGCAGGACUUUGGCUGUGGGGUUUCCCUGCAUGGCUUUGGGUUGCAGGAUUGAGGGUGCAGGGCUUUGGGUGCAGUGCUUUGGGUGCAGGAUUGGGGGUGUAGGGCUUUGCUGCGUGGUUUGGUGCAGGACUUUGGCUGUGGGGUUUCCCUGCAUGGCUUUGGGUUGCAGGAUGUUCAGUGCAGGGCUUUGAGUGCAGUGCUUUGGGUGCAGCAUUGGGGGUGUAGGGCUUUGCUGCAGCUUUGCUGCAUAGUUUGGUGCAGGAGUUUGGCUGUGGGGUUUCCCUGCAUGCCUUUGGUUGCAGGAUGUUCGGUGCAGGGCUUUGGGUGCAGCAUUGGGGGUGCAGGAUUGGGGGUGUAGGGCUUUGUUGCAUGGUUUGGUGCAGGACUUUGGCUGUGGGGUUUCCCUGCAUGGCUUUGGUUGCAGGAUGUUCAGUGCAGGGCUUUGGGUGCAGCAUUGAGGGUGCAGGAUUGGGGGUUGUAGAGCUUUGCUGCGUGGUUUUGGUGCAGGACUUUGGCUGUGGGGGUUUCCUGCAUGGCUUUGGUUGCAGGAUGUUCGGUGCAGGGCUUUGGGUGCAGGAUUGGGGGUGUAGGGCUUUGUUGCAUGGUUUGGUGCAGGACUUUGGCUGUGGGGUUUCCCUGCAUGGCUUUGGUUGCAGGAUGUUCAGUGCAGGGCUUUGGGUGCAGCAUUGAGGGUGCAGGAUUGGGGGUGUAGGGCUUUGCUGCAUGGUUUGGUGCAGGACUUUGGCUGUGGGGUUUCCCUGCAUGGCUUUGGUUGCAGGAUGUUCGGUGCAGGGCUUUGGAUGCAGCUUUGAGGGUGCAGGAUUGGGGGUGUAGGGCUUUGCUGCAUGGUUUGGUGCAGGACUUUGGGUGUGGGGUUUCCCUGCAUGGCUUUGGGGUGCAGGAUUGAGGGUGCAGCGCUUUGGGUGCAGUAUUGGGGUUGUAGGGCUUUGCUGCAUGGUUUGGUGCAGGACUUCGGCUGUGGGGGUUUCCUGCAUGGCUUUGGUUGCAGGAUGUUCGGUGCAGGGCUUUGGAUCCAGCGUUGAGGGUGCAGGAUUGGGGAUGCAGGGCUUUGCUGCAGCUUUGCUGCAUAGUUUGGUGCAGGACUUUGGCUGUGGGAUUUUCCUGCAUGGCUUUGGUUGCAGGAUGUUCGGUGCAGGGCUUUGGAUGCAGCGUUGAGGGGUGCAGGAUUGGGGGUGUAGGGCUUUGCUGUGUGGUUUGGUGCAGGACUUUGGCUUUGGGUUUCCUGCAUGGCUUUGGUUGCAGGAUGUUCGGUGCAGGGCUUUGGGUGCAGGAUUGGGGGUGUAGGGCUUUGUUGCAUGGUUUGGUGCAGGACUUUGGCUGUGGGGUUUCCCUGCAUGCCUUUGGUUGCAGGAUGUUUGGUGCAGGAUUGGGGGUGUAGGGCUUUGCUGCAUGGUUUGGUGCAGGACUUUGGCUGUGGGGUUUCCCUGCAUGCCUUUGGUUGCAGGAUGUUCAGUGCAUGGCUUUGGUUGCAGGAUGUUCGGUGCAGGGCUUUGGGUGCAGUGCUUUGGGUGCAGCAUUGGGGGUGUAGGGCUUUGCUGCAGCUUUGCUGCAUGGUUUGGUGCAGGACUUUGGCUGUGGGGUUUUCCUGCAUGGCUUUGGUUGCAGGAUGUUCGGUGCAGGGCUUUGGGUGCAGAGUUUGGGUGCAGGAUUUUGGGUGCAGGGCUUUGGUGCAAGACUUUGGGUGUGGGAUUUUGCUGCAUGGCUUUGGACGCAGGGCUUUGGUUGCAGGAUUUUGAUGCAGGGUUUUUGGGUGUGGGACUUUGCUGCAGGGGUUUGGAUGCAGGGCUUUGGUUGCAGGACUUUGGUGCAGGACUUUGGGUGUGGGAUUUUGCUGCAGGGCUUUGGAUGCAGGAUUUUGGAUGCAGGACUUUGCUGCAGGGGUUUGGACGCAGGGCUUUGGUUGCAAGAUUUUGAUGCAGGGUUUUGGGUGCAGGACUUUGGUGCAGAACUGAGUAUGGGGCUUUGGGUGCACGACUUUGGUGCAGGACUUCAGUGCAGGACUUUGUUGCAGAGCUUUGGCAGCUGAUUUUGGCACAGGGCUUUGAAUGCGGCCCUUUGGUGCAGGACUUUGGGCGUGGGAUUUUGCUGCAGGGCUUUGGUUGCAGGACUUUGGUUGCAGGGUUUUGGGUGCAGGACUUUGGCGCAGGAUUUUGGGUGUGGGAUUUUGCUGCAGGGCUGUGGUUGCAGGAUUUUGGCUGCAGCACUUUGGUGCAGAACUGAGUAUGGGGCUUUGGGUGCAGGACUGUGGUGCAGGACUUCGGUGCAGGACUUUGGUGCAGGGCUUUGGCACCUGAUUUUUGCACAGGGCUUUGAAUGCGGCCCUUUGGUGCAGGACGUUGGGUGUGGGAUUUUGCUGCAGGGCUUUGGAUGCAGCACUUCGGGUGUGGGAUUUUGGCUGCAGGGUUUUGGGUGUAGGACUUUGGUUGCAGGAUUUUGAUGCAGGGAUUUUGCUGCAGGGCUUUGGUUGCAGGAUUUUGGGUGUGGGAUUUUGCUGCAGGGCUUUGGUUGCAGGAUUUUGGCUGCAGCACUUUGGUACAGAACUGAGUAUGGGGCUUUGGGUGCAGGACUGUGGUGCAGGACUUCGGUGCAGGAUUUCGGUGCAGGAAUUUGGUGCAGGACUUCGUGUGCAGGACUUUGGUGCAGGACUUUGAUGCAUGGUUUUGGGUGCAGGACUUUGGCGCAGGAUUUGGGUGUGGGAUUUUGCUGCAGGGCUUUGGUUGCAGGAUUUUGGCUGCAGCACUUUGGUGCAGAACUGAGUAUGGGGCUUUGGGUGCAGGACUGUGGUGCAGGACUUCGGUGCAGGACUUUGGUGCAGGGCUUUGGCACCUGAUUUUGGCACAGGGCUUUGAAUGCGGCACUUUGGUGCAGGACGUUGGGUGUGGGAUUUUGCUGCAGGGCUUUGGAUGCAGCACUUCGGGUGUGGGAUUUUGGCUGCAGGGUUUUGGGUGUAGGACUUUGGUUGCAGGAUUUUGAUGCAGGGAUUUUGCUGCAGGGCUUUGGUUGCAGGAUUUGGGGUGUGGGAUUUUGCUGCAGGGCUUUGGAUGCAGCACUUCGGGUGUGGGAUUUUGCUGCAGGGGUUUGGAUGCAGGGCUUUGGACGCAGGAUUUUGGGUGCAGGACUUUGACGGAGGAUUUUGGGUGUGGGAUUUUGCUGCAGGGCUUUGGUUGCAGGAUUUUGGAUGCAGGAUUUUGCAUGUGGGACUUCGCUGCAGGGCUUUGGUGCAGGACUUUGGCACCUGCUUUUGGCCCAGGAUUGCAGCGCAGGACUGCAACGCAGCGCUUUGGGUGCAGCGCUUCGGUGCAGAACGGGGUAUGGGAUUUGGGGUGCAGGGCUUUGCUGCAGGGUUUGAGUGUGGGAUUUCGGUGCAGGAUUUGGGCUGCAGGGCUUUGGUGCAGGAUUUGAGUGCAGGGCUUUGGGUGCAGGAGGUUGGCACAAGGCUUUGGCACAGGAUUUGGUGCAGGACUUUGAUUGCAGGAUUUUGGGUGCAGCACUUUGGUGCAGAACUGAGUAUGGGGCUUUGGGUGCAGGACUUCGGUGCAGGGCUUUGGGUGCACGACUUUGGGUGCAGGACUUUGAAUGCGGCACUUUGGUGCAGGACUUUGGGCGUGGGAUUUUGCAUCAGGGCUUUGGGUGCAGGACUUUGGUUGCAGGAUUUCGGUGCAGGAUUUGGGCUGCAGGGCUUUGGAUGCAGGACUUUGUUUGCAGGUCUUUGGUGCAGGGCUUUGGGUGCAGGGCUUUGUGUGCAGGACUUUGGUGCAGGACUUUGGUGCAUGAUUUUGAUGCAGGUCUUAGGAUGCAGGACUUUGGUGCAGGAUUUCGUUGCAGGGCUUUGGGUGCGGGCCUUUGGUGCAGGAUUUCGGUGCAGGGCUUUGGUGCAUGAUUUCCAUGCAGGGCUUUGGAUGCAGGACUCUGGUGCAGGAUUUUGGUGCAGGGCUUUGGUGCAGGACUUUGUGUGCAGGACUUUGGUGCAGGACUUUGGAUGCAGAAUUUUGGUGCAGGACUUUGUGUGCAGGACUUUGGCGCAGGGCUUUGGUGCAAUACUUUGUGUGCAGGACUUUGGUGCAUGAUUUCUAUGCAGGGCUUUGGAUGCAGGGCUUUGGUGCAGGGUUUCGUUGCAGGGCUUAGGAUGCAGGACUUCGGGUGCAGGAUUUUGGUGCAGGACUUUGGUGCAGGAUUUCGGUGCAGGAUUUCGGUGCAGGGCUUUGGUGCAGGAUUUCGGUGCAGGUCAGGAUUUCGAUGUGGGUCUUAGGAUGCAGGACUUUGUGUGCAGGACUUUGGUGCAGGACUUUGGUGCAGGACUUUGGUGCAGGGCUUAGGAUGCAGGACUUCGGGUGCAGGAUUUUGGUGCGGGUCUUAGGAUGCAGGACUUUGGUGCAGGGCUUUGGUGCAGGGCUUUGGUGCAGGAUUUCAGUGCAGGCUUUGGUGCAGGACUUUG